AUACGGAGGGUGCAAGCGUUAAUCGGAAUUACUGGGCGUAAAGCGUACGUAGGCGGUUCGUUAAGUUAGAUGUGAAAGCCCCGGGCUUAACCUGGGAACUGCAUUUAAAACUGGCGAACUAGAGUUGAGUAGAGGGGAGUGGAAUUUCAGGUGUAACGGUGAAAUGCGUAGAGAUCUGAAGGAACACCAGUGGCGAAGGCGACUCCCUGGACUUAAACUGACGCUGAGGUACGAAAGCGUGGGUAGCAAACGGGAUUAGAAACCCUAGUAGUCC
Molecule: ribosomal RNA, 274 nt
Filed under: uncultured bacterium
Lineage: Bacteria
Description: partial 16S ribosomal RNA
Rfam family: Bacterial small subunit ribosomal RNA
Source: RNAcentral